Long non-coding RNA from Magnolia sinica, 213 nucleotides. RefSeq lists it as uncharacterized. The record is from RefSeq and is a predicted model, not a curated record. NCBI's taxonomy places the organism in Eukaryota, Viridiplantae, Streptophyta, Magnoliopsida, Magnoliales, Magnoliaceae. The transcript is spliced from 2 exons.
CUCUCUAUCCCUAUCUCUCUCUCUCUCUCAAAACCCUAGUCCUCUCUCUCUCUUAUCUCCUCGGCCCUCUACUACAACAUCAUGUAUCUCUCUCCGCUCGAUCUACCGCACAUCAAGGAACAUUCUGCUGCAACAUCAGUAAACGACGAGAGAUACAAGUGGAACUGCAGGCAUUGGGAUUCCAUCAAUGCCUGGAAAUGCAAGCUUGCUUGG